This 763-nucleotide ribosomal RNA is filed under the name uncultured Streptococcus sp. RNAcentral's name for it is "bacterial SSU rRNA". It matches the Rfam family "Bacterial small subunit ribosomal RNA", at positions 28 to 776 of the family's 1533-position model. Lineage: Bacteria; Bacillati; Bacillota; Bacilli; Lactobacillales; Streptococcaceae. The record is from RNAcentral.
GACGAACGCUGGCGGCGUGCCUAAUACAUGCAAGUAGAACGCUGAAGGAGGAGCUUGCUCUUCUGGAUGAGUUGCGAACGGGUGAGUAACGCGUAGGUAACCUGCCUGGUAGCGGGGGAUAACUAUUGGAAACGAUAGCUAAUACCGCAUAAGAGUAGAUGUUGCAUGACAUUUGCUUAAAAGGUGCAAUUGCAUCACUACCAGAUGGACCUGCGUUGUAUUAGCUAGUUGGUGAGGUAACGGCUCACCGAGGCGACGAUACAUAGCCGACCUGAGAGGGUGAUCGGCCACACUGGGACUGAGACACGGCCCAGACUCCUACGGGAGGCAGCAGUAGGGAAUCUUCGGCAAUGGGGGGAACCCCGACCGAGCAACGCCGCGUGAGUGAAGAAGGUUUUCGGAUCGUAAAGCUCUGUUGUUAAGGAAGAACGUGUGUGAGAGUGGAAAGUUCACACAGUGACGGUACUUAACCAGAAAGGGACGGCUAACUACGUGCCAGCAGCCGCGGUAAUACGUAGGUCCCGAGCGUUGUCCGGAUUUAUUGGGCGUAAAGCGAGCGCAGGCGGUUAGAUAAGUCUGAAGUGAAAGGCAGUGGCUCAACCAUUGUAGGCUUUGGAAACUGUUUAACUUGAGUGCAGAAGGGGAGAGUGGAAUUCCAUGUGUAGCGGUGAAAUGCGUAGAUAUAUGGAGGAACACCGGUGGCGAAAGCGGCUCUCUGGUCUGUAACUGACGCUGAGGCUCGAAAGCGUGGGGAGCGAACAGG